AGUGAACGCUGGCGGUAGGCCUAACACAUGCAAGUCGAACGGCAGCACAGUAAGAGCUUGCUCUUACGGGUGGCGAGUGGCGGACGGGUGAGGAAUACAUCGGAAUCUACUUUUUCGUGGGGGAUAACGUAGGGAAACUUACGCUAAUACCGCAUACGACCUACGGGUGAAAGCAGGGGAUCAUCGGACCUUGCGCGAUUGAAUGAGCCGAUGCCGGAUUAGCUAGUUGGCGGGGUAAAGGCCCACCAAGGCGACGAUCCGUAGCUGGUCUGAGAGGAUGAUCAGCCACACUGGAACUGAGACACGGUCCAGACUCCUACGGGAGGCAGCAGUGGGGAAUAUUGGACAAUGGGCGCAAGCCUGAUCCAGCCAUACCGCGUGGGUGAAGAAGGCCUUCGGGUUGUAAAGCCCUUUUGUUGGGAAAGAAAAGCAGCAGGUUAAUACCCCGCUGUUCUGACGGUACCCAAAGAAUAAGCACCGGCUAACUUCGUG
RNAcentral lists this ribosomal RNA (492 nucleotides) under uncultured bacterium. RNAcentral describes it as "partial 16S ribosomal RNA". It matches the Rfam family "Bacterial small subunit ribosomal RNA", at positions 29 to 507 of the family's 1533-position model. The record is from RNAcentral.